AUACGUAGGGUGCAAGCGUUAAUCGGAAUUACUGGGCGUACAGCGUGCGCAGGCGGUUUUGUAAGACAGAGGUGAAAUCCCCGGGCUCAACCUGGGAACUGCCUUUGUGACUGCAAGGCUAGAGUACGGCAGAGGGGGAUGGAAUUCCGCGGGUAGGAGUGAAAAGCGUAGAUAUGCGGAGGAACACCUAUGGCGAAGGGAAUCCCCUGUGCCUGUACUGACGCUCCAUCACGAACGCGUGGGGAGCAAACAGGAUUAGAUGCCCUGGUAUUCCGCUCCCUAAACGAUGUCAACUGGUUGUUGGGUCUUCAUUGACUCAGUAACGAAGCUAACGCGUGAAGUUGUCCGCCUGGGGAGUACGGCCGCAAGUUUGAAACUCAAAGGAAUUGACAGGG
RNAcentral lists this ribosomal RNA (395 nucleotides) under uncultured bacterium. Its description in RNAcentral is "partial 16S ribosomal RNA". It matches the Rfam family "Bacterial small subunit ribosomal RNA", at positions 523 to 918 of the family's 1533-position model. The record is from RNAcentral.